CAUCGUCGCGCCGGCGGCCACUUCCUCGCGCCAGCGGCCGCUUCCUGCUACAUCCCCAUCCACCGUGUCUCUGGUUACAUCCACUGUAAGGAACAUUUUGCUUGAGGGGAAAAGAUGGAAGUAGAGUAUGAGUGAUUUCUUGCGUGUUGUGAUUAAUUACUUCAGUAGGAGAUAGUAGAAAUUUCCUUUGCGAAUCUCCUCAUUCUUCGUACCUUUUCGAUCUGCAAGAUCUAGGCACCUGGUCGUGCAAGCUCUAGGCGGUCAGAUUUGCAAUUUCUACUACUAUUUUUCUUGUCCUUAAUGAAACCGUUGUGAUUAGAGAUGCUAGAUUUUUAAGGCUCCCAAUUUUACAAAACAAGAACUACCUACGUCCUCUUGCAGCAAUGAGAGAGAAUGAUGGAUUAGUUACAUCGCGGUGUCGCCUGUGGUAUCGUUCAUCCUCUGUUGAAGGCGACGUGUCCCCUGCUACAUCCUUGUGUAUCUGGCUUGGCUGACUCGUGGCCGUACCUGUUGCUUAUUCAUUAGCUUGUCCGGCUACAUCUCUGCGCCCGUUAAUUCUUCAUUGGCUUCUCCCGCUACAUUGUAUCUUGCCCGCGUAUCCGGCUACAUCAACGCUUCCACGACCACAUCUUCGCUUCCUCGGCUAGAUCUUUGCUUCACCGGCUGCAACCACCCAGCCCAAGCUACGUCUUCUGGUAAGGUACACCUAGCAAUGCAUCACCAUUCUUUUUUAUUAAGAAGGUGCAUGGUGUGAUUUGCAGUCAAGAAUGGCGAGUGCAGCUAUAAGGCAGGCAGGGAGGAAGUUUUGCAAGGCAGUCUCAUCAAAGACAGAAAGUAAGUUUUAGAAAGACAUGUUAAAUCGAUCCAUCUGAGAUGUAUUACAUCGUUGUCGACAAUUGUUUGAUGGAUAUCUGUACUUAUUGAAUUUUUUUUUUUGCCCCUAAUGUGGACGAGAUCCACUAUGAACUAUGGUGUGCUUUGUAAUGUCAAACUAUGAUACAUCAGUAUUCUACACCCCUUUCCAGUUA
Molecule: long non-coding RNA, 1028 nt
Organism: Lolium rigidum
Lineage: Eukaryota; Viridiplantae; Streptophyta; Magnoliopsida; Poales; Poaceae
Exons: 2
Source: RefSeq, a predicted model, not a curated record